AAGACCUUGCGCUUUUGGAGCGGCCGAUGCCUGAUUAGCUUGUUGGUAAGGUAAAAGCUUACCAAGGCUUCGAUCAGUAGCUGGUCUGAGAGGACGACCAGCCACACUGGGACUGAGACACGGCCCAGACUCCUACGGGAGGCAGCAGUGGGGAAUUUUGGACAAUGGGGGCAACCCUGAUCCAGCCAUGCCGCGUGAGUGAAGAAGGCCUUCGGGUUGUAAAGCUCUUUCAGCCGGAACGAAACGGUUACGGUUAAUACCCAUGACUACUGACGGUACCGGAAGAAGAGGCACCGGCUAACUACGUGCCAGCAGCCGCGGUAAUACGUAGGGUGCGAGCGUUAAUCGGAAUUACUGGGCGUAAAGCGUGCGCAGGUGGUUUUGUAAGUCAGAUGUGAAAGCCCCGGGCUCAACCUGGGAACU
RNAcentral lists this ribosomal RNA (423 nucleotides) under uncultured bacterium. RNAcentral describes it as "bacterial SSU rRNA". It matches the Rfam family "Bacterial small subunit ribosomal RNA", at positions 207 to 622 of the family's 1533-position model. The record is from RNAcentral.